UCCAUCACAUCACAGAAGGGGACCUGGGGUGUCUCCCCAGGGCAGGAGAGAUGACAUCUGAGGAUGGGCAUACUGCUGUCACUUAUAGAGGGGACCCAGCCUCGCUCUGUUUUCCUGUGUAUCGUCCUGGGUCUGGCCAGGUUGACUGGCCUGGAAGUGACUUGACCCAGAUGGACCCCACAGGAGUCGGAGAGAUCAACAGAAGUCCCAGGAGGCCCUAACUGCCCAGGCAGGAGAGCUCAGUGGUCCCCCGGAAGCACAAUGAAAAGAAAAGAUAGAUUGUGACAAGUUUGAGACAAAGAGAGGACAAAAAUCCUAAAUCCUUCCUGCAAGGACUCUUCCUGAGAGCCCAAACACGAAGACCAAAGCUCACUCUAUCACCACUCCUAGGAGCUGCCAUCACUGAGCACUUACUACAGACCAAACACAGCUUCACACAUGCCGUCCCAUUUAUCGUCACUGUGACCCUGGGAGGGAGGAGUGAUUAUUCUCAACCUGGAGAAGAGAUAUGGAAACUCGGAGAGCUUAGCAUCUGGCUCAAGAUCACAAAACUUGAGGCCAGGGCUGUCCCUCCUCAAAGCCUGUGUUUGUAACUCUGCCAGCCUAGCAGCUGAGCACAAUCAUUACUCAGAGCUUCCUGGGUCGGUGAUGGGUGUGGGCUGCUUGAAGAAUUCCUCACUCCCAUUGCAUCAAGAACCACCUAAGCCAGUCCCACCAGCUGCACACCCCAACGGUUAGCCUUUGAUGGGGGUCAGCAAACUGGUCCACGGGCCAAAUCAGCUCUGCUACCUGAUUUUAUGAAGUCGUACUGGAAUACACCUAUGCCGGUUCAUUUACCUGUUGUCUGCUCGUAUGUCUGCUUUCACGCUCCAUGGGCCAGCCUGCGUCAUUGCCACAGAGUCCACACGGCCCGUGAUGCCUGCAGUAUUAACUCUCUGGCCCUUUACCGAGAAGUGUCGACCCUGGCCUUUGAGGAAACCACAGGUUUGCCAGUGUCUGCAGAGCUCAGCUGAAGAUGGUGCAGAGGGUGACGUGC
Long non-coding RNA from Hipposideros armiger (great roundleaf bat), 1036 nucleotides. RefSeq lists it as uncharacterized. NCBI's taxonomy places the organism in Eukaryota, Metazoa, Chordata, Mammalia, Chiroptera, Hipposideridae. The record is from RefSeq and is a predicted model, not a curated record. The transcript is spliced from 3 exons.